AUCCUGAAGAGGCAAGGAUCUCCAUGGCCAGCAUUAAUGGUUUCGCCAUGCAUGAGAAGGUCUCCUGUGCCAGAGAGCUCGUGAAUGAGCAGAAUCCUGAAAAGUACAACGCGAGCAGUUUUAAUGACUUCCUCGACUAUCUCACAAGCAAUCUGGAGAACAAGCACCGGAACUUUCUUGAGAGCCUUAGGAUGCAAGGGGCGUAGUAGGGGUAUAAUCUCCACUCGAAGCACAAAACAAUACCUACGACAAUUUGUCUCUAUGCCUACAACCGUUCAUCUCUCUAUAUUACUUUUGAUCUGAAAGUACUGAAGUUGUUGUGUGUUGUCAUGCUGUUUUGGACAAAUUAUCUGUAAUAUUACUUUCGAUCUGAAAGUACUGAAGUCGUUUUGUGUUGUCAUGCUGAUUUGGACAAAUUAUUAGUAAUAUUAUUACUUUUGAUAUGAAGGCACUGAAGUUGUUGUGUGUUGUCAUGCUGUUUUCCCCUUUCACCCCACCACAUUAUUAUGAGUUUGUAUUAAGUAAGGAGAAAUCCAUGAUGUAAACUUUAUCUACCUGAGUAGUAGUAAGGUACUGUAUGCUGUGAGUUAACCAUUUGACUUCAAAUUUCCACUUGUAAUGCUGCGACACUUAAUCAGCAAGGUCGGGCAUAUAAUGCGCAAUUUAGAAUCAGUAAGAACAAGAUUGGAUCGCGGGGGUUCCUCCGUGGAUGGGUGGGUCUGGAAACAAAAUCGAAAUGGAGGACGGGGGUGGGGAAGAAACUAGUACCAAACAGAAACCCCGGGUAGGGGCUGGGCGGAGAGGCGCGGCUCCGGUCCCGCGGGCCGCCGGCAACGAGGAGGCGGCGGCCUAGCAGCCGGGCCACGCACCACGCUGCGGUAGUAGGUCCCGUCCCGAAGCGGGGCACGAGCGCCCCGGUGGUGGUGGUCGGUUGCCCUCCGGCCCCAUCUCCGGGGAUCUCGCCUUGCGCGCCGUGAGCCUGCCUUCGGCGGUUGCUGCGGCGGGCGGCGGGC
This 1013-nucleotide long non-coding RNA is filed under the name Triticum aestivum (bread wheat). RNAcentral describes it as "long non-coding RNA (TAES_LNC023285)". Lineage: Eukaryota; Viridiplantae; Streptophyta; Magnoliopsida; Poales; Poaceae. The record is from RNAcentral.